AACGAACGCUGGCGGCAUGCCUAACACAUGCAAGUCGAACGAGACCUUCGGGUCUAGUGGCGCACGGGUGCGUAACGCGUGGGGACCUGCCAUUAGGUGCGGAAUAACUCCCCGAAAGGGGUGCUAAUACCGGAUAAUGUCUUCGGACCAAAGAUUUAUCGCCUUUGGAUGGUCCCGCGAUGGAUUAGCUAGUUGGUAGGGUAAAAGCCUACCAAGGCGACGAUCCAUAGCUGGUCUGAGAGGAUGAUCAGCCACACUGGGACUGAGACACGGCGCAGACUCCUACGGGAGGCAGCAGUGGGGAAUAUUGGACAAUGGACGAAGGCCUGAUACAGCAAUGCCGCGUGAGUGAUGAAGGCCUUAGGGUUGUAAAGCUCUUUUACCCGGGAUGAUAAUGACAGUACCGAGAGAAUAAGCUCCGGCUAACUCCGUG
RNAcentral lists this ribosomal RNA (433 nucleotides) under uncultured bacterium. RNAcentral's name for it is "partial 16S ribosomal RNA". It matches the Rfam family "Bacterial small subunit ribosomal RNA", at positions 29 to 507 of the family's 1533-position model. The record is from RNAcentral.